Molecule: non-coding RNA, 29 nt
Filed under: Homo sapiens (human)
Lineage: Eukaryota; Metazoa; Chordata; Mammalia; Primates; Hominidae
Source: RNAcentral
UCCUCAGCAGCUUACUGGGAACUCUAGAA